This 243-nucleotide ribosomal RNA is filed under the name uncultured bacterium. RNAcentral's name for it is "partial 16S ribosomal RNA". It matches the Rfam family "Bacterial small subunit ribosomal RNA", at positions 534 to 776 of the family's 1533-position model. The record is from RNAcentral.
GCUAGCGUUGCUCGGAAUCACUGGGCGUAAAGCGCACGUAGGCGGCUUACUAAGUCAGGGGUGAAAUCCUGGAGCUCAACUCCAGAACUGCCUUUGAUACUGGUGAGCUUGAGUCCGGAAGAGGUGAGUGGAACUGCGAGUGUAGAGGUGAAAUUCGUAGAUAUUCGCAAGAACACCAGUGGCGAAGGCGGCUCACUGGUCCGGUACUGACGCUGAGGUGCGAAAGCGUGGGGAGCAAACAGG